Molecule: transfer RNA, 72 nt
Filed under: Bos taurus (domestic cattle)
Lineage: Eukaryota; Metazoa; Chordata; Mammalia; Artiodactyla; Bovidae
Also listed under: 1 other name
Rfam family: tRNA
About the family: Transfer RNA (tRNA) molecules are approximately 80 nucleotides in length. Their secondary structure includes four short double-helical elements and three loops (D, anti-codon, and T loops).
Source: Rfam by way of RNAcentral
UCCCUGGUGGCCUAAUGGUUAGGAUUCUGCACUUUCACUGCUGGGGCCCAGGUUCAACCCCUCGUCAGGGAA